UCCGUAGGCGGUCUUAUAAGUCUGAUGUGAAAGCCCACGGCUCAACCGUGGAGGGUCAUUGGAAACUGGAGAACUUGAGUACAGAAGAGGAAAGCGGAAUUCCACGUGUAGCGGUGAAAUGCGUAGAGAUGUGGAGGAACACCAGUGGCGAAGGCGGCUUUCUGGUCUGUAACUGACGCUGAGGCGCGAAAGCGUGGGGAGCAAACAGGAUUAGAUACCCGUGUA
This 225-nucleotide ribosomal RNA is filed under the name uncultured Sporosarcina sp. RNAcentral's name for it is "partial 16S ribosomal RNA". It matches the Rfam family "Bacterial small subunit ribosomal RNA", at positions 568 to 792 of the family's 1533-position model. Lineage: Bacteria; Bacillati; Bacillota; Bacilli; Caryophanales; Caryophanaceae. The record is from RNAcentral.